RNAcentral lists this ribosomal RNA (305 nucleotides) under uncultured bacterium. RNAcentral describes it as "bacterial SSU rRNA". It matches the Rfam family "Bacterial small subunit ribosomal RNA", at positions 335 to 658 of the family's 1533-position model. The record is from RNAcentral.
GUACCUACGGGAGGCAGCAGUGGGGAAUAUUGCACAAUGGGGGAAACCCUGAUGCAGCGACGCCGCGUGAGUGAAGAAGUAUCUCGGUACGUAAAGCUCUAUCAGCAGGGAAGAAAAUGACGGUACCCGAAGAAAAAGCAUCGGCUAACUCCGUGCCAGCAGCCGCGGUAAUACGGAGGAUGCGAGCGUUAUCCGGAUUUAUUGGGUUUAAAGGGUGCGCAGGCGGGAGAUCAAGUCAGCGGUAAAAUGUCGGGGCUCAACCCCGGCCGGCCGUUGAAACUGGUUUUCUAGAGUUGGAGAGAAGA